This 255-nucleotide ribosomal RNA is filed under the name uncultured bacterium. RNAcentral's name for it is "partial 16S ribosomal RNA". It matches the Rfam family "Bacterial small subunit ribosomal RNA", at positions 524 to 776 of the family's 1533-position model. The record is from RNAcentral.
UACGUAGGGUGCAAGCGUUUGUCCGGAAUUAUUGGGCGUAAAGAGCUCGUAGGCGGUUUGUCGCGUCUGCUGUGAAAACUCAGGGCUUAACCCUGAGCCUGCAGUGGGUACGGGCAGACUAGAGUGCGGUAGGGGAGACUGGAAUUCCUGGUGUAGCGGUGAAAUGCGCAGAUAUCAGGAGGAACACCGGUGGCGAAGGCGGGGUCUCUGGGCCGUAACUGACGCUGAGGAGCGAAAGCGUGGGGAGCGAACAGG